This 206-nucleotide ribosomal RNA is filed under the name uncultured bacterium. Its description in RNAcentral is "partial 16S ribosomal RNA". It matches the Rfam family "Bacterial small subunit ribosomal RNA", at positions 1286 to 1500 of the family's 1533-position model. The record is from RNAcentral.
UCUCAUUCGGAUCGGAGUCUGCAACCCGACUCCGUGAAGCUGGAUUCGCUAGUAAUCGCGCAUCAGCCAUGGCGCGGUGAAUACGUUCCCGGGCCUUGUACACACCGCCCGUCAAGCCAUGGAAGCCGGGAGUGCCUGAAGUAUGCAACCGCAAGGAGCGUCCUAAGGUAAAACCGGUGACUGGGGCUAAGUCGUAACAAGGUAUC